Molecule: long non-coding RNA, 653 nt
Organism: Caretta caretta (loggerhead turtle)
Lineage: Eukaryota; Metazoa; Chordata; Testudines; Cheloniidae
Source: RefSeq, a predicted model, not a curated record
CCCAACAGUGUAGAAAGGCCGGAGCAGCUGGGCAGCUGAAUACAGCAUGGGAACCGCCAGAGAGCUGUGUGCAGAGCAGGCUGCAGCAUGAGACAGGGAACUGCAUGUGGAACAGGAGGUUCUAGCAGUGAAGUGAGACAUUUCAAUGGAAACAAGUGAAUCUACUGGAGGGUAAAAUCUUUCCUCCCAAGUACAGAAAUAUGGAGACCUUUUUCAAAACAGCCCUAAAAGGGGAGACCUGGACACGACUCACCUUUUCAGGAACCACUGUUGCUGCUUAUAACAUAAAAGACUUGGAGAGACAAAUAGACGGCUUCACCAUCUUGGCACUCCACCAGCUCCCAGACUUCUUCAUGCUAAUCCUGAAAGAUGUACUGACCAGAUCAGGACCCACAGGUACCAGAUGACGUUGCCAUGUCCACUGGCUUUGGCUAAAUCCUGAACACUACCUGCCAUGUGAGACUUUGUCUCUUUCAGUCCCCAGUGUGUCCUUUUCCUUCCCUACCGUAUUUCUUCUUUCUUCUCUCUCUCCCCUUUUUGUUAUGUCUAAUAAGAGUUUGCCAAGAUGCAUAUUUUUGAACAUUGCUGUAAGCCUGUGACCACAGAGACAAAUAAAAUAAUGCCCUAAACAGUUUGAUGCUGUUAAAAGCAUA